This 135-nucleotide ribosomal RNA is filed under the name Escherichia coli. RNAcentral describes it as "partial 16S ribosomal RNA". It matches the Rfam family "Bacterial small subunit ribosomal RNA", at positions 1 to 126 of the family's 1533-position model. Lineage: Bacteria; Pseudomonadati; Pseudomonadota; Gammaproteobacteria; Enterobacterales; Enterobacteriaceae. The record is from RNAcentral.
UUAAAUUGAAGAGUUUGAUCAUGGCUCAGAUUGAACGCUGGCGGCAGGCCUAACACAUGCAAGUCGAACGGUAACAGGAAACAGCUUGCUGUUUCGCUGACGAGUGGCGGACGGGUGAGUAAUGUCUGGGAAACU